CAAAAUUUUAAUCCAUCUGAUUCAAUCAUUUCUUCUUUCUAUCUCUUCCGUUGACUACCACCAUUCACUAAAAUAAAGAAACGAAAAAAAAUAUUAUACUCUCUACCAUCUUCUUCCUCAUAUCACUGCCGCCAUUGUUUCUCUUACUCAUUUUCUUAUUCCUCGCCAUCAAAACCGUCGCUUGAAAAUUGAUCAACGAUCCCGAUUACCCACCGGUGUCUCCUAGGCUCAAGAAACAAUCUGCGUAUGCCCCUUGGUUCCGUUAGUUCAUCGUCGCCAUUGCUCAGAUAUAAAGGUUGAUUGGAAACAGAUUUUUUCACCGGCGGGUAAUCCAGCUCGUUAAUGGAUUUUCGGGCGACGGUUUUGAUGGCAUGAGAAGAUCAAGCGAGAGAAACAAUGGUAGCAAUCAUAUUGAAUUGAGAACUUUUUUUAAAAGUUAUCAAAAUAAUACAGUUUUUAUUUUAGAGUAA
Gossypium arboreum is the source of this 470-nucleotide long non-coding RNA. RefSeq lists it as uncharacterized. NCBI's taxonomy places the organism in Eukaryota, Viridiplantae, Streptophyta, Magnoliopsida, Malvales, Malvaceae. The transcript is spliced from 2 exons. The record is from RefSeq and is a predicted model, not a curated record.